Molecule: ribosomal RNA, 253 nt
Filed under: uncultured bacterium
Lineage: Bacteria
Description: partial 16S ribosomal RNA
Rfam family: Bacterial small subunit ribosomal RNA
Source: RNAcentral
UACAGAGACUGCAAGCGUUAUUCGGAUUCACUGGGCGUAAAGGGUGCGCAGGCGGCCGGGUGUGUCAGAUGUGAAAUCCCGAGGCUCAACCUCGGAACUGCGUCUGAAACUACUCGGCUAGAGUACUGGAGAGGGUAACGGAAUUCACGGUGUAGCAGUGAAAUGCGUAGAUAUCGUGAGGAACACCAGAAGCGAAGGCGGUUACCUGGACAGUUACUGACGCUCAGGCACGAAAGCGUGGGGAGCAAAAGGG